RNAcentral lists this long non-coding RNA (245 nucleotides) under Mytilus galloprovincialis (Mediterranean mussel). Lineage: Eukaryota; Metazoa; Mollusca; Bivalvia; Mytilida; Mytilidae. The record is from RNAcentral.
UAAGCCUUUUUCAACUGAUUUUUAUAGUUCGUUCUUAUGUUGUACUGUUAUACCACUGUCACAGGUUAGGGGAGGGUUGGGAUCCCGCUAACAUGUUUAACCCCGCCACAUUAUUUAUGUAUGCGCCUGUCCCAAGUCAGGAGCCUGUAAUUCAGUGGUUGUCGUUUGUUUAUGUGUUACAUAUUUGUUUUUCGUUCAUUUCUUUUUACAUAAAUAGGGCCGUUAGUUUUCUCGUUUGAAUUGUU